This 251-nucleotide ribosomal RNA is filed under the name uncultured bacterium. Its description in RNAcentral is "partial 16S ribosomal RNA". It matches the Rfam family "Bacterial small subunit ribosomal RNA", at positions 524 to 776 of the family's 1533-position model. The record is from RNAcentral.
UACGUAGGUGGCAAGCGUUGUCCGGAAUUAUUGGGCGUAAAGCGCGCGCAGGCGGCCUCUUAAGUCUGAUGUGAAAGCCCCCGGCUCAACCGGGGAGGGCCAUUGGAAACUGGGAGGCUUGAGUAUAGGAGAGAAGAGUGGAAUUCCACGUGUAGCGGUGAAAUGCGUAGAGAUGUGGAGGAACACCAGUGGCGAAGGCGACUCUUUGGCCUAUAACUGACGCUGAGGCGCGAAGCGUGGGAGCAAACAGG